Molecule: long non-coding RNA, 573 nt
Organism: Oncorhynchus keta (chum salmon)
Lineage: Eukaryota; Metazoa; Chordata; Actinopteri; Salmoniformes; Salmonidae
Exons: 3
Source: RefSeq, a predicted model, not a curated record
ACAGGUAGUUAAGAUCUAGACAGAGACAGGUAUCUAGAGCAAGGCAGGUAGUUAAGAUCCAGACAGAGACAGGUUUAUAGAGAAAUGCAGGUAGUUAAGAUCCAGACAGAGACAGGUAUCUAGAGAAAGGCAGGUAGUUAAGAUCCAGACAGAGACAGGUAUCUAGAGAAAGGCAGGUAGUUAAGAUCCAGACAGAGACAGGUAUCUAGAGAAAGGCAGGUAGUUAAGAUCCAGACAGAGACAGGUAUCUAGAGAAAGGCAGGUAGUUAAGAUCCAGACAGAGACAGAUAUCUAGAGAAAGGCAGGUAGUUAAGAUCCAGACAGAGACAGGUAUCUAGAGAAAGGCAGGUAGUUAAGAUCCAGACAGAGACAGGUAUCUAGAGAAAGGCAGGUAAGACAGAGACAGGUAUCUAGAGAAAGGCAGGUAGUUAAGAUCCAGACAGAGACAGGUAUCUAGAGAAAGGCAGGUAGUUAAGAUCCAGACAGAGACAGGUAUCUAGAGAAAGGCAGGUAGUUAAGAUCCAGACAGAGACAGGUAUCUAGAGAAAGGCAGGUAGUUAAGAUCCAGACAGA